UUCCGGUUGAUCCCGCCGGACCCGACUGCUAUCAGAGUGGGACUAAGCCAUGCUAGUCAACAUAGCAAUAUGUGGCAUACGGCUCAGUAACACGUAGUCAACAUGCCCAGGGGACGUGGAUAACCUCGGGAAACUGAGGAUAAACCGCGAUAGGUCAUCACUUCUGGAAUGGGUAAUGACUUAAAUCUAUAUGGCCCCUGGAUUGGACUGCGGCCGAUCAGGCUGUUGGUGAGGUAAUGGCCCACCAAACCUGUAACCGGUACGGGCUCUGAGAGGAGGAGCCCGGAGAUGGGCACUGAGACAAGGGCCCAGGCCCUAUGGGGCGCAGCAGGCGCGAAACCUCUGCAAUAGGCGAAAGCUUGACAGGGUUACUCUGAGUGAUUUCCGUUAAGGAGAUCUUUUGGCACCUCUAAAAAUGGUGCAGAAUAAGGGGUGGGCAAGUCUGGUGUCAGCCGCCGCGGUAAUACCAGCACCCCGAGUGGUCGGGACGUUUAUUGGGCCUAAAGCAUCCGUAGCCGGUUCUACAAGUCUUCCGUUAAAUCCACCUGCUUAACAGAUGGGCUGCGGAAGAUACUAUAGAGCUAGGAGGCGGGAGAGGCAAGCGGUACUCGAUGGGUAGGGGUAAAAUCCGCUGAUCCAUAGAAGACCACCAGUGGCGAAGGCGGCUUGCCAGAACGCGCUCGACGGUGAGGGAUGAAAGCUGGGGGAGCAAACCGGAUUAGAUACCCGGGUAGUCCCAGCUGUAAACGAUGCAGACUCGGUGAUGAGUUGGCUUAUUGCUAACUCAGUGCCGCAGGGAAGCCGUUAAGUUUGCCGCCUGGGGAGUACGGUCGCAAGACUGAAACUUAAAGGAAUUGGCGGGGGAGCA
This 868-nucleotide ribosomal RNA is filed under the name uncultured archaeon. RNAcentral's name for it is "bacterial SSU rRNA". It matches the Rfam family "Archaeal small subunit ribosomal RNA", at positions 1 to 878 of the family's 1478-position model. The record is from RNAcentral.